Molecule: long non-coding RNA, 921 nt
Filed under: Citrus x clementina
Lineage: Eukaryota; Viridiplantae; Streptophyta; Magnoliopsida; Sapindales; Rutaceae
Description: Citrus clementina (C. clementina) long non-coding RNA (CCLE_LNC004484)
Source: RNAcentral
AGAAUGCAUUUUGACAUUUUUUACAUGGACAACGAACAAGAUUAUUCUCAUUUACACAUUGCUCAGCAACCUUCAUAAAAGACUUGAUACCAUCUAAGUAUUCUUUACAUAAUUUAUUUCGCAAACACAUCCAACUCCUAUCCAUUGUUCACUGCUAGGUACUAUAAAUUAAUAUAUGUAGGGAACAAAAGCAAGACAAAAACAAAAGAAUUUUACAUAAUAAUGUGGACAAAUCUUUUUAAAAAAUGAAUUGUACCUGAAAGCUGAAGGUAAUAAAUAGAAUUCAAUUGAUUCUUCAAGUUUUUGUUCUCAGCAAAGACGAAACUCCCAAACAAUUAAGUCGCCUGUGAAAUAGAGUUAAAAAUUCAAAAAAAUAUUGAGAGAAGAUUGAGAAAGAAUAUAACCCGCAAGUUUUAUUUUAUUAUUGCAGUAUAUAAUAAUUCUUUAGAUGAAUUAACAGCAAAUAGAGAUCAAAAUAUCCAUUAUAUUUAAUUUAACAAAUUAAAAAUUGAAACAAAGACCCACUUAAUAAAUAAUUAAAGCAAAACCCACUAAACAAAGUCAAACUCAGCAGGCCAAUAUAUAAAAUAAUACUAAAUUUACUUGAAGAAAUCAAGUGGGGAAGAAACAAUUAUUUACAAAUACCUCGAAAUAGAACUUUUCUUGAGCGGUGCCUUCCAAGUACAACUCUUUAGUAGUUUAAAGCUUGGGCAGAGAGAAGAACUCCAUGGCUGGGCAAAAGAAAGAAGCGAGUGUAAAGUGGAAAUAUUCUAGAAGCAAUAUUUUUAAUUAAGAAAAAUUGGAGAUGGAAACUUUACUUCCGUUGGCGCGCGGUUCAUUAAAUAAAGCACGUGGAAAUAAAAAGCCUCCCACAAAGUCAUGUUGGCUUUUAUAUUAUCUUUAUAUUUUUAUUUAUUAAUU